RNAcentral lists this ribosomal RNA (385 nucleotides) under Tmethypocoelis ceratophora. Its description in RNAcentral is "partial 12S ribosomal RNA". Lineage: Eukaryota; Metazoa; Arthropoda; Malacostraca; Decapoda; Dotillidae. The record is from RNAcentral.
UAGAUACCCUAUUAUUUUAGGAGGUUAGAAUAAAACAAAUCAUUAAAAGAUAUAUGCUUUAAAAUUAAAAGAUUUGGCGGUGAUUUAAUCUUAUUAGAGGAACUUGUUCUGUAAUCGAUAAUCCACGUAAAAUUUUACUUGCUUUUGUAAAUCCAGUUUGUAUACCGUCAUUAUCAGGUAAUUCCAAAAGGAUUGAAUUUCUAAAUUUAAUUAAUUAGAUAAAUUAGAUCAAGGUGCAGCCUAUAAGCAAGUUGGAAUGAGUUACAAUAAAUUACUUUAUAACGCAAUAUUAGAUGAAAUUCUACUAAGAAGGAGGAUUUAAUUGUAUUGCAAGUUCAAUAAGCUUGCGAGAAAUAAGCUCUAAAUCAUGUACAUAUCGCCCGUC